CGCGAUGAAGCUCCGACCCAGGAUGGACGUAGGCUAGAAUCUUCCCGCUCUCCAGACAGACACCACGCGAUGGUCACUCUGCUAAGCAGGCAACGGAAGCACAGCAGUCAGUAACUAACUCGCCAUGGUCAGAACUGCCUCAAGUGGACUAACCGGAAGUUGAAUCCGAUAACCUGGCUUCUUGGUCAUGCUUUGAAACAGCACACACUGGAUUCUGCUGCCUCUCCGAGCAUCUCAGAUCUUUGCCAGUUCCAUCUCUAGAUCACAGCGUCGGAUCUGCAAGGCACCGUGCUUGGCUGUGCCCUGUGACACGACCGACCUUGCUUGAUGGUGAGGCUACCUAGAAGUCGGGCC
This is a long non-coding RNA of Chionomys nivalis (European snow vole), 354 nucleotides long. RefSeq lists it as uncharacterized. Lineage: Eukaryota; Metazoa; Chordata; Mammalia; Rodentia; Cricetidae. The record is from RefSeq and is a predicted model, not a curated record. The transcript is spliced from 3 exons.